AGCAGCCGCGGUAAUUCCAGCUCCAAUAGCGUAUAUUAAAGUUGUUGCAGUUAAAAAGCUCGUAGUUGAAUUUCGGAAUCAAUAUAUCGGUCGUGCCUUGGUACGUACUGGUAUCAUUGGUUUCUCCUUUCUGACGAACCAUGAUGUCAUUAAUUUGGUGUUAUGGGAAGUUAGGACUGUUACUUUGAAAAAUUAGAGUGUUUAAAGCAGGCUUUAGCUUGAAUACAUUAGCAUGGAAUAAUGAAAUAGGACGUUUGAUCCUAUUUCGUGGUUUCUAGGAUCGACGUAAUGAUUAAUAGGGAUAGUUGGGGGCAUUAGUAUUCAAUUGUCAGAGGUGAAAUUCUUGGAUUUAUUGAAGACUAACUACUGCGAAAGCAUUUGCCAAGGAUGUUUUCAUUAAUACAAGAACGAAAGUUAGGGAUCGAAGACGAUCAGAUACCGUCGUAGUCUUAACC
This 455-nucleotide ribosomal RNA is filed under the name uncultured Glomus. Its description in RNAcentral is "SSU rRNA". It matches the Rfam family "Eukaryotic small subunit ribosomal RNA", at positions 569 to 1031 of the family's 1831-position model. The record is from RNAcentral. Lineage: Eukaryota; Fungi; Glomeromycota; Glomeromycetes; Glomerales; Glomeraceae.